AAGCGGCAACAGCUCAAAUUUGAAAUCUGGCCCUUUCGGGGUCCGAGUUGUAAUUUGUAGAGAGUGCUUCGGGGGAGGCGGCGGUCUAAGUCCAUUGGAACAUGGCGUCAUAGAGGGUGAGAAUCCCGUAUGCGACCGUGGCUCGAACCCAUGUGAAGCCUCUUCGACGAGUCGAGUUGUUUGGGAAUGCAGCUCAAAAUGGGUGGUAAAUUUCAUCUAAAGCUAAAUACCGGCUGGAGACCGAUAGCGCACAAGUAGAGUGAUCGAAAGAUGAAAAGCACUUUGGAAAGAGAGUCAAACAGUACGUGAAAUUGUUGAAAGGGAAGCGCUUGCAACCAGACCUGCCCGCAGGCGAUCAGCCGCUGUUCUCAGCGGUGCACUCGCCCUGCGAUCAGGCCAGCAUCGGUUUCGGCGGUCGGAUAAAGGCCUUGGGAAUGUAGCUCCCCUUCGGGGGAGCCUUAUAGCCCUCGGUGCAAUGCGGCCAGCCGAGACCGAGGACCGCGCUUCGGCUAGGAUGCUGGCGUAAUGGUUGUAAGCGACCCGUCUUGAAACACGGACCAAGGAGUCUAACAUCUAUGCGAGUGUUUGGGUGUCAAACCCAUGCGCGGAAUGAAAGUGAACGGAGGUGAGAACCCCGAAGGGCGCAUCAUCGACCGAUCCAGAUGUCUUCGGAUGGAUUUGAGUAUGAGCAUAGCUGUUGGGACCCGAAAGAUGGUGAACUAUGCCUGAAUAGGGUGAAGCCAGAGGAAACUCUGGUGGAGGCUCGCAGCGGUUCUGACGUGCAAAUCGAUCGUCAAAUUUGGGUAUAGGGGCGAAAGACUAAUCGACCU
Molecule: ribosomal RNA, 830 nt
Filed under: Parmelina pastillifera
Lineage: Eukaryota; Fungi; Ascomycota; Lecanoromycetes; Lecanorales; Parmeliaceae
Description: eukaryotic LSU rRNA
Rfam family: Eukaryotic large subunit ribosomal RNA
Source: RNAcentral